This 604-nucleotide unclassified non-coding RNA is filed under the name Alternaria hordeiaustralica. Its description in RNAcentral is "sequence contains 18S rRNA gene, ITS1, 5.8S rRNA gene, ITS2, 28S rRNA gene". The stretch from base 238 to 391 matches the Rfam family "5.8S ribosomal RNA". Lineage: Eukaryota; Fungi; Ascomycota; Dothideomycetes; Pleosporales; Pleosporaceae. The record is from RNAcentral.
UCGUAACAAGGUCUCCGUAGGUGAACCUGCGGAGGGAUCAUUACACAAUAACAAGGCGGGUUGGACACCCCCCGCUGGGCACUGCUUCACGGCGUGCGCGGCGGGGCCGGCCCUGCUGAAUUAUUUACCCGUGUCUUUUGCGUACUUCUUGUUUCCUGGGUGGGCUCGCCCGCCCUCAGGACCAACCACAAACCUUUUGCAAUAGCAAUCAGCGUCAGUAACAACGUAAUUAAUUACAACUUUCAACAACGGAUCUCUUGGUUCUGGCAUCGAUGAAGAACGCAGCGAAAUGCGAUACGUAGUGUGAAUUGCAGAAUUCAGUGAAUCAUCGAAUCUUUGAACGCACAUUGCGCCCUUUGGUAUUCCAAAGGGCAUGCCUGUUCGAGCGUCAUUUGUACCCUCAAGCUUUGCUUGGUGUUGGGCGUCUUUUGUCUCCAGUUCGCUGGAGACUCGCCUUAAAGUCAUUGGCAGCCGGCCUACUGGUUUCGGAGCGCAGCACAAGUCGCGCUCUUCGCCAGCCAAGGUCAGCGUCCAGCAAGCCUUUUUUUCAACCUUUGACCUCGGAUCAGGUAGGGAUACCCGCUGAACUUAAGCAUAUCAAUAA